This 332-nucleotide unclassified non-coding RNA is filed under the name soil metagenome. RNAcentral describes it as "partial contains 5.8S ribosomal RNA, internal transcribed spacer 2, and large subunit ribosomal RNA". The stretch from base 1 to 120 matches the Rfam family "5.8S ribosomal RNA", at positions 35 to 154 of the family's 154-position model. The record is from RNAcentral.
GAUGAAGAACGCAGCAAAAUGCGAUAAGUAAUGUGAAUUGCAGAAUUCAGUGAAUCAUCGAAUCUUUGAACGCACAUUGCGCCCGCCAGUAUUCUGGCGGGCAUGUCUGUUCGAGCGUCAUUUCAACCCUCAAGCACAGCUUGGUGUUGGGACUCGCGUUAAUUCGCGUUCCCCAAAUUGAUUGGCGGUCACGUCGAGCUUCCAUAGCGUAGUAGUAAAACCCUCGUUACUGGUAAUCGUCGCGGCCACGCCGUUAAACCCCAACUUCUGAAUGUUGACCUCGGAUCAGGUAGGAAUACCCGCUGAACUUAAGCAUAUCAAUAAACGGAGGA